UACGUAGGGGCCUAGCGUUGUCCGGAAUUAUUGGGCGUAAAGGGCUCGUAGGCGGCCAACUAAGUCAGACGUGAAAUCCCUCGGCUUAACCGGGGAACUGCAUCUGAUACUGGAUGGCUUGAGUUCGGGAGAGGGAUGCGGAAUUCCAGGUGUAGCGGUGAAAUGCGUAGAUAUCUGGAGGAACACCGGUGGCGAAGGCGGCAUCCUGGACCGACACUGACGCUGAGGCGCGAAAGCGUGGGGAGCGAACAGG
RNAcentral lists this ribosomal RNA (253 nucleotides) under uncultured bacterium. RNAcentral describes it as "partial 16S ribosomal RNA". It matches the Rfam family "Bacterial small subunit ribosomal RNA", at positions 524 to 776 of the family's 1533-position model. The record is from RNAcentral.